Molecule: ribosomal RNA, 407 nt
Filed under: uncultured bacterium
Lineage: Bacteria
Description: partial 16S ribosomal RNA
Rfam family: Bacterial small subunit ribosomal RNA
Source: RNAcentral
AUUGAACGCUGGCGGCAGGCCUAACACAUGCAAGUCGAGCGGAGCGGCGGACGGGUGAGUAAUGCCUAGGAAUCUGCCUGGUAGUGGGGGAUAACGUCCGGAAACGGGCGCUAAUACCGCAUACUAUCAGAUGAGCCUAGGUCGGAUUAGCUAGUUGGUGGGGUAAAGGCCUACCAAGGCGACGAUCCGUAACUGGUCUGAGAGGAUGAUCACUCACAGUGGAACGGAGAAACGGUCCAGAUUUUUACGGGAGGCAGCAGUGGGGAAUAUUGGAAAAUUGGCGAAAUCCUGAACGAGCCAUGCCACGUGUGUGAAGAAGGUCUUGGGAUUGUAGAGCACUUUAAGCUGAGAGGCGUUACCUACAGAAUAAGCACCGGCUAACUUCGUGGCAGCAGCCUCGGUAAUUU